RNAcentral lists this ribosomal RNA (469 nucleotides) under uncultured bacterium. RNAcentral's name for it is "partial 16S ribosomal RNA". It matches the Rfam family "Bacterial small subunit ribosomal RNA", at positions 28 to 508 of the family's 1533-position model. The record is from RNAcentral.
GACGAACGCUGGCGGCGUGCUUAACACACGCAAGUCGAACGGAAAGGCCCUGCUUUUGUGGGGUGCUCGAGUGGCGAACGGGUGAGUAACACGUGAGUAACCUGCCCUUGACUUUGGGAUAACUUCAGGAAGCUGGGGCUAAUACCGGAUAGGAGCUCCUGCUGCAUGGUGGGGGUUGGAAAGUUUCGGCGGUUGGGGAUGGACUCGCGGCUUAUCAGCUUGUUGGUGGGGUAGUGGCUUACCAAGGCUUUGACGGGUAGCCGGCCUGAGAGGGUGACCGGCCACAUUGGGACUGAGAUACGGCCCAGACUCCUACGGGAGGCAGCAGUGGGGAAUAUUGCACAAUGGGCGGAAGCCUGAUGCAGCAACGCCGCGUGCGGGAUGACGGCCUUCGGGUUGUAAACCGCUUUCGCCUGUGACGAAGCGUGAGUGACGGUAAUGGGUAAAGAAGCACCGGCUAACUACGUGC